Molecule: ribosomal RNA, 479 nt
Filed under: Trypanosoma cruzi
Lineage: Eukaryota; Euglenozoa; Kinetoplastea; Trypanosomatida; Trypanosomatidae
Description: small subunit ribosomal RNA
Rfam family: Eukaryotic small subunit ribosomal RNA
Source: RNAcentral
CAAGGACUUAGCCAUGCAUGCCUCAGAAUCACUGCAUUGCAGGAAUCUGCGCAUGGCUCAUUACAUCAGACGUAAUCUGCCGCAAAAAUCUUGCGGUCUCCGCAAAAUUGGAUAACUUGGCGAAACGCCAAGCUAAUACAUGAACCAACCGGAUGUUCUCUGUUCCGGCGGCAGGGCAACCUGCUGCCAUGGGACGUCCAGCGAAUGAAUGAAAGUAAAACCAAUGCCUUCACCGGCAGUAACACUCAGAAGUGUUGAUUCAAUUCAUUCCGUGCGAAAGCCGGGUUUUUUACCCGGCGUCUUUUGACGAACAACUGCCCUAUCAGCCAGCGAUGGCCGUGUAGUGGACUGCCAUGGCGUUUACCGGAGCGGGGGAUUAAGGUUCGAUUCCGGAGAGGGAGCCUGAGAAAUAGCUACCACUUCUACGGAGGGCAGCAGGCGCGCAAAUUGCCCAAUGUCAAAAAAAAAAAAAGAGGCGU